Molecule: ribosomal RNA, 245 nt
Filed under: uncultured bacterium
Lineage: Bacteria
Description: partial 16S ribosomal RNA
Rfam family: Bacterial small subunit ribosomal RNA
Source: RNAcentral
CUUAGUGGCGAACGGGUGAGUAACGCGUGAGUAACCUGCCCUAGAGUGGGGGACAACAGUUGGAAACGACUGCUAAUACCGCAUAAGCCCACGGUACCGCAUGGUACUGAGGGAAAAGGAUUUAUUCGCUUUAGGAUGGACUCGCGUCCAAUUAGCUAGUUGGUGAGGUAACGGCCCACCAAGGCGACGAUUGGUAGCCGGGCUGAGAGGUUGAACGGCCACAUUGGGACUGAGACACGGCCCAG